AGGGUGAGACUUUAAGGGGCUUCCUGGGUUUUUAGUAUCCGUUUGUAACUUUCUUGGGGCCAAAGACCUUUCCACCAGCCGCGUUGUCAGAGCAAGAAUUCAGGCUGCUAUUUUUAAUGUCUGUAGAGCAGUUGUAUUUCCCUGGGGCUCCUGGAGGCAUUUAUCCAUCUUAGGCUUCCUUCCACAAACCACUAUUGGAGCACGGCUUUUGAAAUGGCAGCUGGCCGUGGCAGGCGCCGAUUCACCGUGCUUUAGUCGUCACUGUUGCUUCACACUUGAAAUUAACAGGCAAUGGGGCUGUGAAUAAUGAAGUCAAAGGCAGCUUUCUCCCUUGCAUCCCACUGGAAGUCCAGAUUGAAGGUAACUUUGGAUGACUUCUACAUACAUGCUACAUUCAUGCAUAUGGAGACAUAGAUGACAUCCAUCAGUACCAUGCCUUGUAGUUCAAGGAAGUCAAUCAAAAAGCCUGUCCUGUGUUUUCAGUUGAUAGCUGAUGCAAGCUGACUUGACUAUUCUGCUGAGGCUUAAUACCUAAGCUGAGGUACCAAAACAAGAGGAAGGAGCCCCUGGCCUGCAGCAAGCUGUGGACAAAUCUUGAAAGGAAUGAUAUCUUCUGGAUGAAAGAAAAGGACCAUAGGGAUGGAGAACAGAUGGAAAGGAAAGGGAGAGCUCCAACCAGCCAUCUCACGGUUCAGGUUUUGAAGCAUUAUCAGCCAAAAGAAAAUCCUGGGAACACAAUUUUCCACCAAAGCUGUCCUGCACAAAAAUGGUUUCAGGCCUCUUUGUCAAACCACAGUAGAUUUUUGACAUGUUUGAAAAGAUAUAAUUUCUUUCUCCACUAGUAGUCUUGUUCUGUAUAGGAAUGGUGAGAGAGGGAAAUACAAUAUGGGGGAAAAAAUGUGUAUGUUAACACCUGUAGCAGAUGGGUGCUCUUUCUGUUUAGAGUUUUGCUACUGAGUGUAUUAGGUACUGCUGGAUUUACAAAGAAAUAUGGACUUGCUUAUCAUCACCACAGGUAAGAUGACAUGAGAGCUACUUGAAGACUGUGAAGGUCUGUAAAAGUAGUUACAAAUGUUGCAUAGAUGACAUUCUUAUAUAGCUGUGUACAUCUUAUUAAGUUAAAUUAAAUGAAUAAUUAUUUUCAUGUUUCCAAUCUUCUAAUUGUGUAAUUAUAUUUAUGUAUAAAGGGAACAAUAUGUAAAGGGAGAAAUAACUGUGGGUCUUUUUACAUAUACACAUACAUAUGUAUGUGUGUCUAUGUGUAUAUACAUACA
Molecule: long non-coding RNA, 1274 nt
Organism: Calidris pugnax (ruff)
Lineage: Eukaryota; Metazoa; Chordata; Aves; Charadriiformes; Scolopacidae
Exons: 3
Source: RefSeq, a predicted model, not a curated record